RNAcentral lists this ribosomal RNA (721 nucleotides) under Bacillus pumilus. RNAcentral's name for it is "bacterial SSU rRNA". It matches the Rfam family "Bacterial small subunit ribosomal RNA", at positions 51 to 755 of the family's 1533-position model. Lineage: Bacteria; Bacillati; Bacillota; Bacilli; Caryophanales; Bacillaceae. The record is from RNAcentral.
AUACAUGCAAGUCGAGCGGACAGAAGGGAGCUUGCUCCCGGAUGUUAGCGGCGGCCGGGUGAGUAACACGUGGGUAACCUGCCUGUAAGACUGGGAUAACUCCGGGAAACCGGAGCUAAUACCGGAUAGUUCCUUGAACCGCAUGGUUCAAGGAUGAAAGACGGUUUCGGCUGUCACUUACAGAUGGACCCGCGGCGCAUUAGCUAGUUGGUGAGGUAACGGCUCACCAAGGCGACGAUGCGUAGCCGACCUGAGAGGGUGAUCGGCCACACUGGGACUGAGACACGGCCCAGACUCCUACGGGAGGCAGCAGUAGGGAAUCUUCCGCAAUGGACGAAAGUCUGACGGAGCAACGCCGCGUGAGUGAUGAAGGUUUUCGGAUCGUAAAGCUCUGUUGUUAGGGAAGAACAAGUGCAAGAGUAACUGCUUGCACCUUGACGGUACCUAACCAGAAAGCCACGGCUAACUACGUGCCAGCAGCCGCGGUAAUACGUAGGUGGCAAGCGUUGUCCGGAAUUAUUGGGCGUAAAGGGCUCGCAGGCGGUUUCUUAAGUCUGAUGUGAAAGCCCCCGGCUCAACCGGGGAGGGUCAUUGGAAACUGGGAAACUUGAGUGCAGAAGAGGAGAGUGGAAUUCCACGUGUAGCGGUGAAAUGCGUAGAGAUGUGGAGGAACACCAGUGGCGAAGGCGACUCUCUGGUCUGUAACUGACGCUGAGGAGGG